UAAUCAAUAAAACUAUACAUAAAUGAAAAUUUUAAUGAAUUAAAAAUUUUUUUGCUCAUCAAAGAAAAAGAUGUAGAGGAAAAUUAAGCCACAAUUAAUGGAGCAUUUAUCGUACAUACUAGAGGAGCAUGACCCGUGUCAGCACGGACCCAACAUUAAGAUAUUUAUUUGUCUUUUCAAUAUUAAUUAUUGUGAUUUCUAGUAUUUUUCAUGAAUUUUUGUGAAAUAUAUAAUAUAUAUUGUUUUAUAUCUUCUUCUGUCCCGUCCCAAUUUAUGUGGCACUAAUAUAAUUUUGAUAGUCAAUCAAAUA
Molecule: long non-coding RNA, 310 nt
Filed under: Capsicum annuum
Lineage: Eukaryota; Viridiplantae; Streptophyta; Magnoliopsida; Solanales; Solanaceae
Description: long non-coding RNA (CANN_LNC003433)
Source: RNAcentral